GCUGGAAGUACAGGCAUGAGCCACUGCACCCAGCUGUUAGUGAAUUCUUAUUCAUUAUAAUGCUGCAUAUUUUUUUGACCUCAUACAUCAGAAGGUAUCUCUUCCAAAUGCACAAUGAAGGAGUUCUCAUCAACAGCACAAGGCAAUAGAGAAGUGAUCCACACAGGGACAUUGCAAAGACAUGAAAGUCAUCACAUUGGAGAUUUUUCCUUCCAGGAAAUUGAGAAAGAUAUUCAUAACUUUGAGUUUCAGUGGCAAGAAGAUGAAAGAAAUGGCCAUGAAGCACCCAUGACAAAAAUCAAAAAAUUGAUGGGUAGUACAGAGCAAUAUGAUCAAAGGCAUGCUGGAAACAAUCCUAUUAAAGAUCAGCUUGGAUCAAGCUUUCAUUCACAUCUGUCUGAACUCCACAUAUUUCAGCCCAA
This 422-nucleotide small RNA is filed under the name Pan troglodytes (chimpanzee). Its description in RNAcentral is "processed transcript". Lineage: Eukaryota; Metazoa; Chordata; Mammalia; Primates; Hominidae. The record is from RNAcentral.